RNAcentral lists this ribosomal RNA (253 nucleotides) under uncultured bacterium. Its description in RNAcentral is "partial 16S ribosomal RNA". It matches the Rfam family "Bacterial small subunit ribosomal RNA", at positions 524 to 776 of the family's 1533-position model. The record is from RNAcentral.
UACGGGGGGGGUAAGCGUUGUUCGGAAUUACUGGGCGUAAAGGGCUCGUAGGCGGCCAACUAAGUCAGACGUGAAAUCCCUCAGCUUAACUGGGGAACUGCGUCUGAUACUGGAUGGCUUGGAUUCGGGAGAGGAAUGCGGAAUUCCAGGUGUAGCGGUGAAAUGCGUAGAUAUCGUAAGGAAGACCAGUGGCGAAGGCGGGUCUCUGGACAGUUCCUGACGCUGAGGCACGAAGGCCAGGGGAGCAAACGGG